Molecule: ribosomal RNA, 450 nt
Filed under: uncultured bacterium
Lineage: Bacteria
Description: partial 16S ribosomal RNA
Rfam family: Bacterial small subunit ribosomal RNA
Source: RNAcentral
GUCGAGAAUAAUUCACAAUGGACGAAAGCCUGAUGGUGCAACGCCGCGUGGAGGAUGACGGUCUUCGGAUUGUAAACUCCUGUCAUCCGGGAGUAAGACCUGGCUGUGAAUAGCAGACAGGGUUGAUAGUACCGGAAGAGGAAGGGACGGCUAACUUCGUGCCAGCAGCCGCGGUAAUACGAAGGUCCCGAGCGUUGUUCGGAAUCACUGGGCGUAAAGGGAGCGUAGGCGGCGUGGUAAGUCAGAUGUGAAAUCCCGGGGCUCAACCCCGGAACUGCAUCCGAUACUGCCGUGCUAGAGGAUUGGAGAGGUAGCUGGAAUUCUUGGUGUAGCAGUGAAAUGCGUGGAGAUCAAGAGGAACACUCGUGGCGAAAGCGAGCUACUGGACAAUAUCUGACGCUGAGGCUCGAAGGCCAGGGUAGCGAAAGGGAUUAGAAACCCGGGUAGUCC